RNAcentral lists this ribosomal RNA (599 nucleotides) under uncultured bacterium. RNAcentral's name for it is "bacterial SSU rRNA". It matches the Rfam family "Bacterial small subunit ribosomal RNA", at positions 331 to 929 of the family's 1533-position model. The record is from RNAcentral.
CCAGACUCCUACGGGAGGCAGCAGUGAGGAAUAUUGGUCAAUGGGCGAGAGCCUGAACCAGCCAAGUAGCGUGCAGGAAGACGGCCCUAUGGGUUGUAAACUGCUUUUAUGCGGGGAUAAAGUGAGGGACGUGUCCUUCAUUGCAGGUACCGCAUGAAUAAGGACCGGCUAAUUCCGUGCCAGCAGCCGCGGUAAUACGGAAGGUCCGGGCGUUAUCCGGAUUUAUUGGGUUUAAAGGGAGCGUAGGCCGUGGAUUAAGCGUGUUGUGAAAUGCAGGUGCUCAACGUCUGCACUGCAGCGCGAACUGGUUCACUUGAGUGUGCACAACGCAGGCGGAAUUCGUCGUGUAGCGGUGAAAUGCUUAGAUAUGACGAAGAACUCCGAUUGCGAAGGCAGCUUGCGGGAGCACAACUGACGCUGAAGCUCGAAAGUGCGGGUAUCGAACAGGAUUAGAUACCCUGGUAGUCCGCACGGUAAACGAUGGAUGCCCGUUGUCAGGCUGUUUCAGUCUGGUGACCAAGCGAAAGCAUUAAGCAUCCCACCUGGGGAGUACGCCGGCAACGGUGAAACUCAAAGGAAUUGACGGGGGCCCGCACAAG